UGGCUGCUGGACAAAUGGACUGUGGAUCC
This 29-nucleotide non-coding RNA is filed under the name Mus musculus (house mouse). Lineage: Eukaryota; Metazoa; Chordata; Mammalia; Rodentia; Muridae. The record is from RNAcentral.